GCGGGUAUAGUUUAGUGGUAAAACGAAAGCCUUCCAAGCUUUAGUCGCGAGUCCGAUUCUCGUUACCCGCUUUA
RNAcentral lists this transfer RNA (74 nucleotides) under Lactobacillus crispatus 214-1. Its description in RNAcentral is "tRNA-Gly". It matches the Rfam family "tRNA". From Rfam's summary of the family: Transfer RNA (tRNA) molecules are approximately 80 nucleotides in length. Lineage: Bacteria; Bacillati; Bacillota; Bacilli; Lactobacillales; Lactobacillaceae. The record is from RNAcentral.